CCAAGAAGAACAGGGUCAUCCAUGCUGGGACCUGGAAGGAGACAUCACCGCAGCCCCACUGAGCCAGCCUCUUUGGAAGCGCAGCUCCGCCACGUGCAUUGCAACACACAGCUGGGGGCAGAUUGUCGGAAAGUCAUUCUUCAGAAUAAUCCAUGCACUGUCUUCCAUGGACCUGAAGGUCUUCAGCUGAGAUCACCCUUGCCCAUCCGGGCCCCUGAGUGAGUCCUGCAAGGUCCCACUUGUCCAGGACGGAGGUUCAGAUCCUCAUUUAAGGAGAUUCCUGGAGCCUCCCUAGUGCUGAGAAAUGAGAUCCCGGGGCCUGAGCUGGAUGGGGAAGGAUGAAACAAAGGAAGGCUAACCAGCUCUUGGAAAUCAAGAAAUGUUGAAGUUUUGUCAGCAUCCAGGAGGGGGAAGAGAUGAGAGGCUAGACGACCAGACCAGCAGGAGAUGGCACAGCAGUCUAGAAGAGCAUCUGAGAAGAGCAUGGGG
RNAcentral lists this long non-coding RNA (489 nucleotides) under Equus caballus (horse). Its description in RNAcentral is "lncRNA (ENSECAG00000047820.1)". Lineage: Eukaryota; Metazoa; Chordata; Mammalia; Perissodactyla; Equidae. The record is from RNAcentral.